Molecule: ribosomal RNA, 301 nt
Filed under: uncultured bacterium
Lineage: Bacteria
Description: partial 16S ribosomal RNA
Rfam family: Bacterial small subunit ribosomal RNA
Source: RNAcentral
CAGUAGCCGCGGUAAUACGAACCGUCCGAACGUUAUUCGGAAUUACUGGGCUUAAAGCGCGUGUAGGCGGAUGAGCACGUCCGACGCUGAAAUCCCCCGGCUUAACCGGGGAAUUGGCCCGGAUACGACUCGUCUGGAGGGAGGUAGGGGGGCCUGGAACUUCGGGUGGAACGGUGAAAUGCGUUGAGAUCCGAAGGAACGCCCGUGGCGAAAGCGAGGCCCUGGACCUUUUCUGACGCUGAGACGCGAAAGCCAGGGGAGCGAACGGGAUUAGAUACCCCUGUAGUCCCUGUCUCUUAUU